RNAcentral lists this ribosomal RNA (253 nucleotides) under uncultured bacterium. Its description in RNAcentral is "partial 16S ribosomal RNA". It matches the Rfam family "Bacterial small subunit ribosomal RNA", at positions 524 to 776 of the family's 1533-position model. The record is from RNAcentral.
UACGGGGGGAGCAAGCGUUGUUCGGAUUUACUGGGCGUAAAGGGCGCGUAGGCGGCCACCGCAAGUCGGUUGUGAAAUCUCCGGGCUUAACCCGGAAAGGUCAAUCGAUACUGCGGGCUAGAGUGCAGAAGGGGCAACUGGAAUUCUCGGUGUAGCGGUGAAAUGCGUAGAUAUCGAGAGGAACACCUGCGGCGAAGGCGGGUUGCUGGGCUGACACUGACGCUGAAGCGCGAAAGCUAGGGGAGCGAACGGG